RNAcentral lists this ribosomal RNA (559 nucleotides) under Sungouiella intermedia. Its description in RNAcentral is "LSU rRNA". It matches the Rfam family "Eukaryotic large subunit ribosomal RNA", at positions 41 to 667 of the family's 3401-position model. The record is from RNAcentral. Lineage: Eukaryota; Fungi; Ascomycota; Pichiomycetes; Serinales; Metschnikowiaceae.
AUUCAAUAAGCGGAGGAAAAGAAACCAACAGGGAUUGCCUCAGUAACGGCGAGUGAAGCGGCAAAAGCUCAAAUUUGAAAUCCUUCGGGAGUUGUAAUUUGUAGGUUGGGAGACCCCGCGGCUAGUGGCACCAAGUCCCUUGGAACAGGGCGCCUUAGAGGGUGAGAGCCCCGUAGGUACCACAACACCGUCUUGUGUCUCCUCUCCAAAGAGUCGAGUUGUUUGGGAAUGCAGCUCAAAGUGGGUGGUAAAUUCCAUCUAAAGCUAAAUACCGGCGAGAGACCGAUAGCGAACAAGUACAGUGAUGGAAAGAUGAAAAGCACUUUGAAAAGAGAGUGAAACAGUACGUGAAAUUGUUGAAAGGGAAGGGCUUGCAAGCAGACACGGCCUUCGUGCCGGGCCAGCAUCGGUUGCUAGGGGUGGAUAAGGAACAAGGAAUGUAGCUCCUCGGAGUAUUAUAGCCUUGCGCGAUACACCCACUGGCGACCGAGGCCUGCGGUAUUCUUUACCUAGGAUGCUGGCGUAAUGGUUGCAAGCCGCCCGUCUUGAAACACGGACC